This 149-nucleotide ribosomal RNA is filed under the name uncultured bacterium. RNAcentral's name for it is "partial 16S ribosomal RNA". It matches the Rfam family "Bacterial small subunit ribosomal RNA", at positions 333 to 485 of the family's 1533-position model. The record is from RNAcentral.
CUACUCUUACGGGAGGCAGCACUAGGGAAUCUUCCGCAAGGGACGAAACUCUGACGGAGCACCGCCGCGUGAGUGAAGAAGGUUUUCGGAUCGUAAAACUCUGUUGUCAGAGAAGAACAAGUAGGAGAGUAACUGCUCCAGCCUGACGG